CAUUCUCGAUUUACAGUUUUAAGUGGAAUCAAGUUAUUUAGUUUAUUGAAGAGGCAAUAUGCCUUCUUUGACAGUUAAUAUCAAUAUUUCUAGAAAUGAAAACCAGCAAGGUAAGCUUUUUCAGUGACUUAUAAUAAGAUUAAUAAUACUAUGAGCUGUUAAGUUCAAACUUGUUUAAUAAACUUCUUAAAAUUAGCUUUUUCUAUACAAAUAAGCAGUUAUUAUUUUACAGAGAUCGUGAUUAAUGAAAGUUUAACAAUAGUCCUAUUACAUAAUAAGUGUUAAGUGCGAAAGAUUGUUCAAAAGUGGGCGGUAAUUGGUUUCUAUUUUCGCAUCUGAUUAGAAGAUAACGAGGGAAUUAACAAAAAUUUAGCACUGAAAAAUAACAUUAUCUAAGGAGUCUUAGCCUUUAUUUUAAACAAUAAUUGUUUACUGAAAAACACACACAGUUCCUCUUACGUAAUCAAAAUAAAACAAGAGGGAAUUAUAUAUAGUUUUUAUCUAUUUUUAUGCUGUAUAAAUAUUCAUUAGUCAAUUUCAAAUUGAAUAAUUGUUAAAGCGUUACGAAUUUCUGUUAUAAACGGUUCAUUUAACGCCUUCUCAUCUUUCGGAUAGUAGCGUGAAUCUAAACCUUUACCUAAUUCUAUCUUGGACUUUACUACUGUAAGCUUUGAACAAAUACAAAUGUUUUAAAAAUAGAAUUUUAAUCAAUUUUCAUAAGUAAUAAGUAUUAAAAGUUCAUUAUAUUAUCGAUUCUGGACCUAGCUUUUGGUUAUUUGAGAAGCGAUUGGGAGAAAAUGCACAAAGGUAGUUUCUUAUUGAUCUUUAACGUGGAAUAGCUGGGUUUUUUUCGUCGUUUUUAUUUCAGCUAAAUAUCUUUUUAUGCUCUUAAACUUAAAAAUUAAUAGGAAUAGGACACAGUAUUUAAUUGAAAAUUCACCUGCGGCGAUAACCAUGAAGAAAAGUAGGACAAAGUAUUUAUAAUAUCAAAGAAUCAUUUUUUUUCUCCAGAAAAAGCUCCACUCAACCGAUUCGAGGGUGAAGGAGUAGACUUCAAAGCAAAGUUAAUUGGUCAUGAAGAAGUAGCCGAACCAAGAGGGGAUAAAAUUUGUGUAGAUACCAUGAACAAACUAAAGUUUAUAGCCCAGCAGAACCUUAGAGGCUCCGGCAUUCAUAAACCACGAAUAAUUUUAAACAUAAACCUGACUGGAUUACAGAUACUGGACGAAAAGUCAAGGGCUGUUUUACAUCAGCAUCACGUCCACAGAAUAUCCUUCAUAUCUCGUGACCCAAAUGACGCAAGAGCUUUUGGUUAUAUCUACGGGAAAGAUGAUGGUAAACACGAAUAUUUUGGAAUAAAGACUAUGCAAGCGGCCGAUCAAGUUGUGACUGCUCUAAAAGAUUUAUUCCAAGUGGUUUAUGAAUUGAAAAAGAAAGAGAUUGAAGGCACAGAAGAGACAGCUGAAUCCAAGGAAGAGGAAGAAGCUAGUGUAAAAACCAACAAAACUGAUUCAGAAAGCGGAGGAGCCAGUGGAACUGCUGAUUUGCCCCAAAAGCCUGAAGAGAAGAAAGAAGACAACCUUUUAGACAUGUUUGGAGGUCUUGGAUUAAGCAAAGAAUCUCCAACCUCGGCCCCUGAACCGUGGAAUACUCCAACUCCCCAAUCCAAUCCCUCAGCACAUCCAGCCUUUCCCGUGUCCUUUGAUGAUGAUAAGCAGCAAGCAGCAAUACAGCAGCAACAGACUCAACAGCCACAGCAGCCACAACAGCAACAAAAACAACAAAAUUUGGACCAAGGAAUGCCUACGUUCAAGAAUCCCCCGCCGUUUGAAAAUCUGGAUGAAGACGCUGGAGGUUCUGCUCUUGCAUUCAAACCAGUUGAUUUACCGACCUUUAAUGACCCGUUUAAAACCACAAACCCACCUAUCCCUUCAAAAGGGACGGGAAUUAGUUCCCAGCCUAUAUUUUCGGCCUCUAGCGAUUCGGCUUUUAACGCCUUUCCAGCGCCCACGACUAACAGCAUGAUAGGUAGCAUGAACACAACAAACGCAAUGCCCUUUAAUUCUAAUCCAGCUAGCGGUACUAUGAAUAACAUGAAUAACUUUGGAUUCGGUAACGCACCUGCAUUCGGAGGUCCACCAGCUUUUAACAACACAAGUUUUAUGCAAAUGAAUAACCAUCAGCCGUUUCCAGUUCAGCAAAGCGGUCCCCCACCAGUACCACAACGUAAUACUACUCAGCCAGAAAAUGUAUUACAACCAACAGUUGGAGCUAUUUCGGAUCCAUUUUCUUCUUUAGAUCCCCUCGGAAAGCCGGAGAAGACUAUGUUUAAGAAGAAUUCGCCAAGUAUCAAUGAUAUGCAAACUAGCACUGCGCCAUUGGCUCAAAACUCGAAUCCUUUCGCCUGAACGACUUCAAAAAAAAUUUUACUUCAUAUCUUUACUGAUGAUUUAAUAAAUUAACAAUGUAACUUUUAAUAAUUAAAAGAAUUUUCACUGUUACUUUGCAUGCAGAAUUCAAAUAAACAACUCACUAU
This 2536-nucleotide unclassified non-coding RNA is filed under the name Dimorphilus gyrociliatus. Its description in RNAcentral is "pID domain-containing protein". The record is from RNAcentral. Lineage: Eukaryota; Metazoa; Annelida; Polychaeta; Dinophilidae.